UGAGGAAUAUUGGGCAAUGCCCGCAAGGGUGACCCAGCAACGCCGCGUGGAGGAUGAAUGUCGUAAGAUUGUAAACUCCUGUUAGAGGGGAAGAAUAGUACCGGUUGGACCGGUAUAUGACUGUACCCUCAGAGAAAGCCCCGGCUAACUACGUGCCAGCAGCCGCGGUAAUACGUAGGGGGCAAGCAUUGUCCGGAUUUACUGGGUGUAAAGGGCGCGCAGGCGGGAUAAAAAGUCAGUGGUGAAAUCCUACAGCUUAACUGUAGAACUGCCUUUGAUACUUUUAUUCUUGAGUUCGGGAGAGAGAGACGGAAUUCCAGGUGUAGUGGUGAAAUACGUAGAUAUCUGGAAGAACAUCAGUUGCGAAGGCGGUCUCUUGGUCCGACACUGACGCUGAGGCGCGAAAGCGUGGGGAGCAAACA
Molecule: ribosomal RNA, 422 nt
Filed under: uncultured bacterium
Lineage: Bacteria
Description: bacterial SSU rRNA
Rfam family: Bacterial small subunit ribosomal RNA
Source: RNAcentral